GACGAACGCUGGCGGCGUGCCUAACACAUGCAAGUCGAACGGAAAGGCCCGGCUUUUUGGCGGUGCUGGGGUUACCAACGGGGGAGUAACACGUGGGUAAGGAGCCCUUGACUGAGACAUAACUUAAGGAAAGUGGGGCUAAUACGGGAUAGGAGCUAUUGCUGUUUGGGGGGGGCUGGAAAGAUUCGGCGGUUGGGGAUGGACUCGCGGCUUAUCAGCUUGUUGGUGUGGUAGUGGCUUAGCAAGGCCUUGCCGGGUAGCCGGCCUGGGAGGGUGACCGGCCACAUUGGGACUGCGAUACGGCCCAGCCUCCUACGGGACGCAGCGGUGGGGAAUAUUGCACAGUGGGCGGAAGCCUGAUCCAGCGACGCCGCGUGCGGGAUAUCGGCCUUCGGGUUGUAAACCACUUUCCUCUGUGACGAAGCGUGAGUGACGGUACUGGGUAAAGAAGCUCCGGCUAACUACGUG
This 468-nucleotide ribosomal RNA is filed under the name uncultured bacterium. RNAcentral describes it as "partial 16S ribosomal RNA". It matches the Rfam family "Bacterial small subunit ribosomal RNA", at positions 28 to 507 of the family's 1533-position model. The record is from RNAcentral.